RNAcentral lists this unclassified non-coding RNA (1110 nucleotides) under Hevea brasiliensis (rubber tree). The record is from RNAcentral. Lineage: Eukaryota; Viridiplantae; Streptophyta; Magnoliopsida; Malpighiales; Euphorbiaceae.
UUACCAAGGGGGUUAGCUCGAUUGGUAAACCUACAAGUAAUUGCAGGUGGGAGAUACGGGUUUAAAUGCCCAAAUCCUUCAAAUAUGAAAAGCUCUAUGCUUGGUUUAGAUGACAUGAUAAUGUUGAAUUAUGUGCUUUUAUUUUUCUAGAGUGCUUAUUAUGUUAAUAUGUUCACUUAUGUUUCUUUUGAAUGCUAUUUGAGUGUAGUUUAUAAAAUUUAUGAUUUUGCAUUCAGAUUUUAUUGACCCCUCCAUGAUCCUAGUUGAAAAAGCAAUUAUUGAUAGCUGUUAAUUUUGCGUUUUACAAUAUUAUGUUAUUAUUGCAACUAAUGAAUGUUUUUUUACAAUAUUAUUUUAAUAAAUGGAAUUCCAUUUAUGUCUGGCUCCAUCAAAAUUACUGUUGUUGGAAUUGCAGGUUCUUCCAAAAUGAAUAAAGUAUUCACCCUCAGAUGCAGAUGAUAUCCUCUGCGACCCAGAGCGGCAGAUUGAUGCACAUUAUGAUGACAAAAAUUCACCAUGUUGGUAAAGCCAACCACUUCAGGGCAAGACGACAAAUGGCUGAAAGUUUAGGACAGAUUGCCAAGUUUAAGCGUCGCUAUGGACAAGAAGAUGUUGAAGAAACUGCAAAAUGACUCAAUUGUAAAAGCAAAAGACGAGCUUCACAUUGGUGCUCAAGUUUUCCCAUGCAUUUUAGUUUAGAAGGUCACAACAAACCCAGUGAGUUCUCUGAAUUGCAGUAAAUUUUAUUGUCUAUGGAUAUUUGAAGUUAUAGAACAAUUCAAUUUUCACCAGUUUAGUUAAUAUUGAUUUCACUUCCCUAUUAAAAUUAUUACAACUUGCUUGAGUUUGCAAAAUUCAAAACAUUAGGGCAACUCUGUGUUUUAUGAAUUUGUAUCCUAGUAGUCGUGAUUAUGCAGCAGUUCUAGAUUUCUCAUGUGGAGAAUUUUUUUUUUUUCUUUUCAAUAUUACUUAAAAAAAAGUAUGUUGUUUAUGAUUAGUUUUAGUUUUGAGUCUUUAUCAUUGGAUAUUUUGUUUUAGGUUGCAAAGUUUGCUUCUUAUUUUUGGUAUAAUUUUAGGAUUGUCUUUGUAAUGAACUUAUGUCCAUUUGUG